Molecule: long non-coding RNA, 540 nt
Organism: Mauremys reevesii (Reeves's turtle)
Lineage: Eukaryota; Metazoa; Chordata; Testudines; Geoemydidae
Exons: 4
Source: RefSeq, a predicted model, not a curated record
CUUGGAAGUUCAACAGUGGUUGGCAGUGGAAUUAAUGGCCACAUUUCAGACUCUCUAUUUAUUUUGAACACGCUAUACGGUGUAGAAUGUGCCACCAUCCUAAGAACAGUAUGUUCUCCCAAUGCCACUGGAAUUCCCAUAAGCUAAGCAAACAUUCGUGCCACCAAUUGCCAUUUUAAGAGGUCUCAGACAAUAUACCUUGGAUUCCCGUUUGGAACUGAGCUCAUGGUACUGCUUCUGAAGACAUGCAGAGGCAGAUAGGACAUGCCUCAACUCCCGACCAACCAACAGAAGGACCAGGGAAAAAUUCAGUCCCUAUGCUCAGGCGAGAACAGGGACUACUUCCCAACUGAGAACACACAGUACCCCAGAGGAUGUGGGCAAAGUCUUUAUUAAUAACAGACACAUGGAACCACAGUCACUGGAUCAUGGAGUGCAUCACCACAGACAAGUCUUCGAGCAUAAAUUAUAUUGCUGCUUCUUAUAAGAAAUCUGCUAGGAACCAUGAAGACUAUGCACUGGUCUACCAUUCUUUAUUCU